CCUGAUUCCCAAACUAGCCUGCCUGCCUGCCUGCUUGGCUCGCUGGCUGGCUGGCUGACUUGCUGGCUGGUUGGUUGCAUGCGAGUGCUCGUACAUGUGAGAUGAGCAGCAUUCAAACCGUGAUAAAGUAGGAGCGAAAUUUUUGUGUUUUUGAAUUUUCGCACAUUUUUUCGGUUGUUGGUUGGGAGCAUUUGACUGUGGUGCGGAUGUUUUCCUGCCUGCCUGCAUUCUAUACGAAUGUGUUUGUAUGUUUGUAAGUAUGUACUCGUACAUACAUAUUUGCAUUUUAGUCUUUUGUGGUGUCUGGUUGAAGGUAUUAAAUUCACAUAUUUUAUUAAAAGCAUGCUGCGACGGCGGCUGAAAGUAGCAGCAGCAGCUUUAUUCACCCUGCGCACCUGCAAGGAACAAUGUCAGCAGAUUGAAUGUGUAUUAUGUGUACAGUCAUUAUUUAUUGGUGUCAAUAAAUUGCGGUCCAAUUGGAAGUAGUGUCCUUUUUGUGUUCAAGACCAGAAAAAAACUCCAAAAAAUAACACAUACUCUACACACUAUGAAUAUGCCCUCCAUCCUUACAUACUUAGUAGAAGUAUAUUGUAGAUUUGAAUUGUUCGGUCGUCUGGAUGAUAUGUGUACAGCUAACCGCCAUUUAUUUGAAUUCGUUUUUUGUUAAUGCGACAGCGAAUAUGUGCAUAGAUGUACAUAUGUAUGUAUAGUGGGGGACUCACAUCGAAAGUACCGGACCGAUUUCUUUUCUGUAAUUUCAAAAUAUUUUGUCGUGUUUACGUUGGAGCUAAGGUUCUUGUUAGAUGCGAUAUUUAAUACUCUGAUUGUUCUCACUACUGUAUAGAUGAAAUCAAUUGCUUGAGAGUAGACUGAGAUCACAUCUUCCGAAUUACUGUAGUUGCCUGAUGCCAAAAUGUUGUAUGAAUUAAUCAAAAUCGCUUUUUUCGUAGAAUCAAAUGUGAAUUGAGUACUCCAAGAGAUACAUAUGUAUAUAGUAGCCUACACUGUUUAUAAAAUAACAAGUAAGAAAGUAUAAUCGGGAGUGG
Long non-coding RNA from Lucilia sericata (common green bottle fly), 1046 nucleotides. RefSeq lists it as uncharacterized. The transcript has 3 exons. The record is from RefSeq and is a predicted model, not a curated record. NCBI's taxonomy places the organism in Eukaryota, Metazoa, Arthropoda, Insecta, Diptera, Calliphoridae.